UGAACUUAUUGAAUUCUCUCCUACCUUCCACCUUAAACUUUUGCUUAUAUUAUACGCUUAUGAAUAUUCAUUCAUUGGUCAAUUAAUUUUUUUUUUUUGCAAAUCCUCUAAUACGUAGAUAAUUUAAAUUUAAAUCAGUUUAUAUGUGUUAAACGGUUUUUUUUUCUGUAUCUAAGGGUUUAAAAUCGUUUUAAUGUAAUUUUGUAUAAACAUUGAAACGGGCCACCGAUUUUCUCAAAUUUCUUGUACAUGUAAAAUUUAAAUUUAAAAAAAAACCAGACGUACAUAUAGUAUUAAAUUGUUAGUAAAAAUGUACUAUGAAAUAAAAAAAUAUGUUUAGCUAUAUAUUUCUAUACGUUAUAUUUGGUUUUCUUGUAUAUUCGGUAAUAUUUUUUGUUUUUAUUACGUAUUUCACACAGAUUAUUGAUGAUAAAAAUACGAUAUUUUCAAAAUGUCUGCCAAAGCUGUAAAAUAUAGGUGCUAAACAUCAAAAAUCUUCUGCCAACUUUAUAUCGUAUAAAAAAACAUACGCAUAUCUAAAAUAACAUUUAUAUUUAUGUUUAUUCUUAACAAAAUAAUAUAUGACGUACGAGUACAUAAUCAAAGUAUCGUUUCAAAGGGUAUUUCUUAUUGCAUAUCUAUAUUUAAUCUUAUUUAACGUAUUAAAAAGAAAAUU
Cinara cedri is the source of this 676-nucleotide non-coding RNA. The record is from the annotation of a GenBank genome assembly. NCBI's taxonomy places the organism in Eukaryota, Metazoa, Arthropoda, Insecta, Hemiptera, Aphididae.